This 654-nucleotide ribosomal RNA is filed under the name uncultured bacterium. RNAcentral's name for it is "bacterial SSU rRNA". It matches the Rfam family "Bacterial small subunit ribosomal RNA", at positions 86 to 754 of the family's 1533-position model. The record is from RNAcentral.
AGAAGAAUCAUGGCGGACGGGUGAGUAACGUGUAAAGAACUUACCAUAUAGACUGGGAUAACAGAGGGAAACUUCUGAUAAUACUGGAUAAGUUAGUAGUAGCAUUACUAAGUAAUGAAAGGUAGCAAUACGCUAUAUGAGAGCUUUGCAUCCUAUUAGCUAGUUGGUGGGGUAAAAGCCUACCAAGGCGAUGAUAGGUAGCCGGCCUGAGAGGGUGGACGGCCACAAGGGGACUGAGAUACGGCCCUUACUCCUACGGGAGGCAGCAGUGGGGAAUAUUGGACAAUGGAGGCAACUCUGAUCCAGCAAUUCUGUGUGUGUGAAGAAGGUUUUAGGACUGUAAAACACUUUUAGUAGGGAAGAAAGAAAUGACGGUACCUACAGAAGAAGCGACGGCUAAAUACGUGCCAGCAGCCGCGGUAAUACGUAUGUCGCGAGCGUUAUCCGGAAUUAUUGGGCUUAGAGGGCAUCUAGGCGGUUAAACAAGUUGAAGGUGAAAACCUGUGGCUCAACCAUAGGCUUGCCUACAAAACUGUAUAACUAGAGUACUGGAAAGGUGGGUGGAACUACACGAGUAGAGGUGAAAUUCGUAGAUAUGUGUAGGAAUGCCGAUGAUGAAGAUAACUCACUGGACAGCAACUGACGCUGAAGUGC